Small nuclear RNA from Nannospalax galili (Upper Galilee mountains blind mole rat), 160 nucleotides. Its record names the gene U1. It matches the Rfam family "U1 spliceosomal RNA". Rfam says of the family: U1 is a small nuclear RNA (snRNA) component of the spliceosome (involved in pre-mRNA splicing). The record is from Ensembl. Lineage: Eukaryota; Metazoa; Chordata; Mammalia; Rodentia; Spalacidae.
AUCCUUCCCUGAGAUCAUCCAAGAUCAUAAAGAUGGCUUUCUCAGGGCAAGGAUCAUCCAUCCAUUCCAUUGUGGGAAUGGUGGCUCCUAUGAUUUCCCCAAAUGUGGGAAAUUCAAUUCAUGUAAUUUGUGGUACUGGAGGACUGUGCUAGCAUUUCCG